UGAUGGUCUUUAGGUCAGAGACCUCCCCACGAACUAAAAUCUGAGAACACAGAUGGGUCUUUGCAAAUAACUUCAUAAUAACAUCAAGGGAGAAGAAUCAUUUCAGACUUUUGGAGAUGGAAAAACCUUUUAGCUGUGAUGACUCGCUCCUCAGAAACAGGACCAAUGCUGUCCAUUGCAGACCAACAUGUUCUGUUUUACCCAGUCAACAGAACGAGCAUGUGUUACAAUGUCACAAUGCUGAAAAUGGGAAUGAGGAGAACUCAAGGAAAAUAACAAAAUCAAAUGUGCCCAUAUCAAUGGACACUCAGUCUGAAAUCUUGGAAAGAAGAGGAAAACCAACACUACUAAUUAGGUCCAAAACAUUUGAUCCCUCCUUUCUUUCAUAUGUCCAAAGUGACACUGAGUCAAAGACUGAAAGGAAAAAGCAACAGUGCUGCCAUUUUCCUCGGACAAAUACCCAAUACCACAAAAUUUUCAAAGACAUUAGUGAGAAUGAGCUGUUGAAACAAAGUUACACAUGUGCAUUGCAGAAAGAUAUUCUUUACCAAGGGAGACUUUUCGUGUCGGAUAACUGGAUUUGUUUCCACUCCAAAGUCUUUGGUAAAGACACCAAGAUUGCCAUUCCAGCUAUAUCUGUAUCGGUAAUAAAGAAAACUAAAACUGCCAUCUUAGUACCAAAUGCACUGAUUAUUGCAACAGCACAAGAACGGUAUGUUUUUGUGUCAUUCCUGUCCCGAGACACUACAUACAAGGUUUUGAUGUCAGUGUGCUCCCAUUUGGAUGACAAGUGUUUGGGAAACAGUCCUAUUCAUUCCUCUGCAGAUGGCAAUUACACAGUGUCACCUUCCACACUUCCCAUGAAUUUCUCAGCAGAUCUGUCAGAUUUGGAUGGCCCAGUGGUUCAAAGGAGACAAGAAAUGGGAUAUAGCAGUAGCUCAGACUCUCCAGAUUCACCAGAGUAUGAGAAAAUGCCAGAACACAAACGGAAUGUUUAUGAAAGUAAAACACUGAGACCAAGCUUGCUUAAUGUUCUUCUGAUGGUGUACCUAUUUCUAUCAUAUCUUUGGAAGAGAGGCUGGACUCUCUAGGCUCUAUGGCUGAAUUUAUUCAUAAUGGGUAAGAUAAAUCCAUGAAUGCCCAGUUCUUUUAUUGGGAUGAACUAAAAGAUUCUUGAUCAGUUUGGAUGUUAUGUGUCAAUUACAGAGAUGAGUACAACAGCGCAUACUCUGAGGAUGCUUCUAGGGUCUACUCUGCUGUGUCCAUUAACCUUGUGAAGCUUGAAAAGAUAAAAAGAGGCCUACAGAGACUAUUGGACAAAAUCCAGUGACUUUAGAUCAUUCCUCAGAUCUCAGUCACCACAAGGUACUGAGAUCUUUAUAGGGUGUACCGUUUAUUGUUAUUGCAAGUCAUUGGCCAAGAUAGGACUAUAGAACAUGGGCAAUGUUUUCCUGGACAUAAUAAAAGCACAAAAUAAAGCUCCAUUUUACUGCUAACAACCCCUGGAUUAUUAAUCUUGGAAUACCACCCCAGUGGCAAUUUUGUUUGUUUUUUCCUUUGUAAUGUUUUUCUGUCUCUGAAAAGCAUGGUAGAGGUGUGAUGAAAUUGUGUAACUCCACAAAAAUGCUUUGUAAGAUUUUGGUUGAAACCAGAAAAAAAUAUAAUUUUGUUCUUGCAUCUGCUAGAGAAGCACAAUGUUAGACCAAAGUGGGUUUGAAAAUACCACUUCACCAUCAAAUCUCAUAUGUCUCACUUUUUGCUGAACCACUCCAACCAUGUCAGUGCAGGCUCAGGUCUGAUCACGACAAUGGCAACUGUGUGGGAAAAAAGCAUUCUGGCGCUAUACUACUAAUAUAUGCUUGGACUUGCUAGUAACUUGUAAAGUUAAAAUGGUAGCUAUAUGAAGAACCGUAGAUGCCACAAUAAAAUACAUUAGUGCAUCCACCUCUUUGGAAAAGGCCAGAUUCAGUUAUAAUGCAAUGCAAGUCUAUGGAGAAAUGCUAAUGCCACCCUGAUAAAAUUGCCUGUAACUUAUUUUUCCUUACAAUUUUCACAAAAUUUGCUUCGUUCAAGACGUCAUAUGUUUUUGUACUAUAUCACAGGUUAUGUAAAUGUAAAUAUACCUGCCAUGUCAAUAUAUUGAUUGUGUCAUGUCAACGCCAGAAUCAGUGUCACACUACAUCUCCGAGAACACAACACAGCCUACAAACAUGGCCGCCAGAAACUACAACCCCCAGCAAACAUUGACUCAGUCACGUUCACUGUCACCAUUCUUCUAAUCAUGCACACCUGGACUCAAUCAUGAACCAGACCCUAAAUACACACACAACCCCACAGUUAACUGCAAAAUAUAUGUUUUGUGUCCUUGUUACUAGCGUUUACAAAGCCUUUAGAUAUUGUGAAUCUGAUGUUCUGGGUUUUGAUUCUUGCCCUGCCUUUUCAUGCUGUUUGCUAAUCACCUGACCAUUGCCUGUUUCCUGUUCUGAGUUUGCCUCAUGAUUUGUAUCUGUUUUGAAGCUGUCUAAAUAAAGCUGUUUAUACCUGC
Molecule: RNA transcript, 2545 nt
Organism: Pangasianodon hypophthalmus (striped catfish)
Lineage: Eukaryota; Metazoa; Chordata; Actinopteri; Siluriformes; Pangasiidae
Gene: gramd2b
Gene name: GRAM domain-containing protein 2B
Exons: 12
Source: RefSeq, a predicted model, not a curated record